GUCUUACACCGGGAUGUCAUAACCCUUUGUUGUCCAGACUCUGUUGCCUCCGGUGGCGACCCUGCCUUCGGGCGGGGGCUCCGGGUGGACACUUCAAACUCUUGCGUAACUUUGCAGUCUGAGUAAACUUAAUUAAUAAAUUAAAACUUUUAACAACGGAUCUCUUGGUUCUGGCAUCGAUGAAGAACGCAGCGAAAUGCGAUAAGUAAUGUGAAUUGCAGAAUUCAGUGAAUCAUCGAAUCUUUGAACGCACAUUGCGCCCCCUGGUAUUCCGGGGGGCAUGCCUGUUCGAGCGUCAUUUCACCACUCAAGCCUCGCUUGGUAUUGGGCAACGCGGUCCGCCGCGUGCCUCAAAUCGACCGGCGGGUCUUCUGUCCCUAAGCGUUGUGGAAACUAUUCGCUAAAGGUGUUCGGGAGCUACGCCGUAACAACCCAUUCUAAGUGACCUGAUCAGUAG
RNAcentral lists this ribosomal RNA (457 nucleotides) under Cladosporium sp. UFMGCB 3773. Its description in RNAcentral is "eukaryotic LSU rRNA". The stretch from base 145 to 298 matches the Rfam family "5.8S ribosomal RNA". The record is from RNAcentral. Lineage: Eukaryota; Fungi; Ascomycota; Dothideomycetes; Cladosporiales; Cladosporiaceae.